UCAGGUUUGGGACUGUUUUUGUGCCCUUUCCAGCUGCACUUUUGGAGCCUUAUUUGGCUUAUUUUAAUGAAGAUUUCAGGGGCUGUUUUGCACUGGAUCUGGAUAUCUCACAAGGCUGAUUUUAAGGGAGAAAAUAAGGAGGUUUAGUGGUGCGACGCAGCUAGAUUUCGGACAUCUUUCAGCUGCUUUUUUCAGUGAUUAUUUGGGGCGAAUUUGAAGCUAUUUUUGACUGGUUUAAGGGUGUUUUUGGAGCUUAACUUCGUGGCUGGAUUGGGGAAGAGAGUUGCUGCAUUUUGCAGCAACUUUGAAGCUGGAUAUUGCUGUUAAUGGAGGUGAAUUUUGGGGCAGAUUCAAGGUGAGCUUUGGAUGGUGUUUGCUGGUUGGUGGGUGGCGUUUUGGGGGGUUCAAGGGCUGUUUUGAGGAGGUUUCAGCUGGG
RNAcentral lists this long non-coding RNA (436 nucleotides) under Nicotiana benthamiana. RNAcentral's name for it is "long non-coding RNA (NBEN_LNC014730)". The record is from RNAcentral. Lineage: Eukaryota; Viridiplantae; Streptophyta; Magnoliopsida; Solanales; Solanaceae.